RNAcentral lists this ribosomal RNA (164 nucleotides) under Dichelostemma congestum. RNAcentral describes it as "5.8S ribosomal RNA". The stretch from base 53 to 164 matches the Rfam family "5.8S ribosomal RNA", at positions 1 to 113 of the family's 154-position model. Rfam says of the family: 5.8S ribosomal RNA (5.8S rRNA) is a component of the large subunit of the eukaryotic ribosome. Lineage: Eukaryota; Viridiplantae; Streptophyta; Magnoliopsida; Asparagales; Asparagaceae. The record is from RNAcentral.
GCCUAUGCAGAGAAGGCGCACGCGGUGGUCCUGCUCUAGAGCGAGUCUUUACGACUCUCGACAACGGAUAUCUUGGCUCUCGCAUCGAUGAAGAACGUAGCGAAGUGCGAUCUUGGUGUGAAUUGCAGAAUCCCGUGAACCAUCGAGUCUUUGAACGCAAGUUG